RNAcentral lists this ribosomal RNA (253 nucleotides) under uncultured bacterium. Its description in RNAcentral is "partial 16S ribosomal RNA". It matches the Rfam family "Bacterial small subunit ribosomal RNA", at positions 524 to 776 of the family's 1533-position model. The record is from RNAcentral.
UACGUAGGUGGCGAGCGUUGUUCGGAAUUACUGGGCGUAAAGGGCGCGUAGGCGGCCCGCUAAGUCGAACGUGAAAUCCCCGGGCUCAACCCGGGAACUGCGUCCGAUACUGGCAGGCUUGAAUCCGGGAGAGGGAUGUGGAAUUCCAGGUGUAGCGGUGAAAUGCGUAGAUAUCUGGAGGAACACCGGUGGCGAAGGCGGCAUCCUGGACCGGUAUUGACGCUGAGGCGCGAAAGCCAGGGGAGCAAACGGG